This is a long non-coding RNA of Carassius auratus (goldfish), 1350 nucleotides long. RefSeq lists it as uncharacterized. The record is from RefSeq and is a predicted model, not a curated record. NCBI's taxonomy places the organism in Eukaryota, Metazoa, Chordata, Actinopteri, Cypriniformes, Cyprinidae. The transcript is spliced from 4 exons.
AACCAUUAUGAUCGGUCAAAUUCAGCAACUAGUGGCCUACAGGCUACAUCAAGAUCAAAGCUUGUUUUGUAUGGCACAUUUAAAAUAACUCAUGCUGACCAAGGUGCUUUCCAAAAGAACAACAUAUAAAACAGAACCAGCCAGAACUAAGACAGCAAACACAUAAAAACAACACAACAAACACAAGACCAUCAAAUAUGCAACUACUAGCUCACACCAGAUCUCAGGCAAGUAACUUAAGUUCCCUCUUAAGAGUGCUUUAAAACGACAGAUCUCAAAAACUAGUCAGCUUCCCACAUAAACAAAUUUUGGACACUACAGAGUGCACUUAUGAUGCUCUCCGGCCAGGCAGCACACUACUUUAUGAGCUAACAGCAUUGCAGACAAUAGUUAGCAAUCAAAAAGGUGCAAAUUUGAAAAUACAUACAUACUCUUUAGCUCUGAAUGAAUUGAUAAUGUUAUUAGAAUAAUUAAAUAUUAGGCAUCAUACAUUAGAAUAAUUAUGAAUAGUUUGUUUGCAAAAACAGAUAAAUCCGUUUUUUUUUUCACAAAUCAUGUUUUUUAUGUUUUUAUUGUGUUAGUUGUAUUUUUUAACGUAAUCAAAAUAAUCCAAAUGUCUAUUAUUUCUAGAAGCCUGUGUGGACUGAACACGUUGUUAAAUCCUAGUUUACUAAGUCACAACAGAAUGUCACACUGGAGGUUUAGUGAAGUUAGACCUGUAGCUCGAGCGACUAACGGUCAAACUCUGAGCUGGGGCUCCGGUGACGUCAGCAGCCCCGCUCCACACGCCAACUCAAUACAGACAGCCAGGUCAAUGAGAGAAAACACACCGAAAUGAAGGAGAAAGUUACGGUUUGCUCGCUUUUUGGUUGAAUACGAGCACACGUCAUCGAAGCCAAGAGAGUCAUUGCCUUUUUUAGGCUGUGUUUUAAUUACUGUGUAAACAACAGUCUGUGAUGCAGAGCAGGGAAUGAAGAGGAUGGGAAGAGCUUCACAAGAAGAGACAUGGGGAGAGCAGAUAGUGUGAGCUGAAGCAGAUUCACUGGCUGGAGGAUCAGAGGUAAACUGUCCAAGGAUGGCUGCCCUCUAGUGGACACACUCUCUCAUGGGUCUCUCCUGUUACAGCACUCCAGUCCAGCAGUGAACAUCUGGAGAAGACACAAGAUGAAACACAUCCAGCAUUAAGGAAAACACAAUAUUGGUCAGAUUUCUGUAACGUAACACCCAUUUGACAGAAAACUCUCAACUAUGAGUGAUGCCCAAACCUUGAGGAACAUAGCAAGACUGUGCUUGGUUUGUGAUAAACCUAUAAAAUAUAAAGAGGAACUGUGUGUGUGUAAAUGUUAUUGA